GCGGCGAUGGCGGAAUGGCAGACGCGCUGGCUUCAGGAGCCAGUGUCCGCAAGGACGUGUGGGUUCAACUCCCUCUCGCCGCA
This 83-nucleotide transfer RNA is filed under the name Candidatus Amesbacteria bacterium RIFCSPHIGHO2_01_FULL_48_32b. RNAcentral describes it as "tRNA-Leu". It matches the Rfam family "tRNA". From Rfam's summary of the family: Transfer RNA (tRNA) molecules are approximately 80 nucleotides in length. Their secondary structure includes four short double-helical elements and three loops (D, anti-codon, and T loops). The record is from RNAcentral. Lineage: Bacteria; Candidatus Amesiibacteriota.